Long non-coding RNA from Fukomys damarensis (Damara mole-rat), 1940 nucleotides. RefSeq lists it as uncharacterized. The transcript has 5 exons. Lineage: Eukaryota; Metazoa; Chordata; Mammalia; Rodentia; Bathyergidae. The record is from RefSeq and is a predicted model, not a curated record.
GGGAGGCGGACAUGUGGCGUCAGGGGCGACCUGGGAGAAGAGAAGGGUGCAUUUUCACCCCCUGACACUCGGUUCGUUGGGCCCUCAAGGCCUCCGCCGGGCUCGUUACCCGGCGGCGGAAGCCUCCAGACCUUCGGAAGCGGGGACCUGGCGCCUGCUAAUCCACUCGGAAGUCCCCGAGAGGGCCUGGGAAGGAUCCCCCGCCCCGCAAACCCACAAGCUGUGUGAGCUCGGUGGUCUGACCCCAGCCUUUCCCAUCCACCUUCCUCUUAGCCGCCGCCUCUCCGCCCGCUGCCCUCGCCCCCUCCAAGUUCAGCUUGUGGGUGGAACCUGUUGCUUCAGCUCACGUUUCCUUCCCGUUCCUGACCGCUAGCUGAGGAUGGCCUCGGCGAGGUGUGUGUCUGAGGACUGGAAGGAUGAGGGUGAAAAGUGCGCGGGGAUGGGGCAGGCUUGGCACGAGUGUUCUCAAGUCUUGGGGUCUCCAAAGAUCCCCUCACACUGCUAUCAAGGAAAUCCUGAAGAAGGUGAGGAGGUGAUAGUCCCCCUGGCACACCUAAAGCCUUUGCUUCCUUGAAUUUUUCAGGAAACACAUCUGGUUCCCUGAGUUCAGCAGUUCUUUCAGUAGGAAAAGGUUUGAUGAAGUGAAAGACACCAGCACUUGCAAAAUCUCCUCCCUUCGCCCUCAGCUACCUAUCCACCUUGCCCUGAGCAACUCUCCUCUGCCACAUCCCUCCACCAUGCCUUCCUGCCAGCAGACUACGGACUAAGACAGGAUUGGUGUUCUAACUCCUCCUCUUCCUGAAUAUACAUGAAUGUAAACAGAAGACAGCCAGAAUGCAUUUAUCAAUGGACUCAGCAGAAACAGAGACAACAUAUUUUUGGCUGAAGCCCGAUGGUCAGGUGGGUUAAGGAGGACAGUUAAGAGGUCCUGACAGAAUUGAUCCACCAACAAGGCAGAGCACAGUGUGGGGGCAGCAAACACAGGACACACAUGUGGCCCCUCUGCACUCCAGCAGCCUCACAGGAGGAGCUCCCGGAUUCUAGGACUCCUGCUGCCGAGCACUUGUCCUCGGUUUGGCUUCCUGGAAACCGGUGAUCUCGCUCAUCUAAGAGAUGUGAAGCAGUUGGAACCCCUAAUUCCUCACAGGGAGGCAGAAGACACUGAAGAGUAGUGAAGCCGUGCUAUGAGAUCUUGAUUGUUUAAGACACGUGACCAUGCAUCUUCAGAACCAGUGGAGAUGAUUUUGCUUUUUUAAUGGACAAACAGUUGCAGUAUUUGACUGAGGUUGGCCCCUGGCCAUUUGUAUUCCUGAGUGACUUCCUUGGGUUCCCCUGGCUAAACCUUACAGCUCAAGCACCAGGGGCCCUUCACCUUAUAGUGGCAACAGUGAACAUUUCCUGGUGCUGAUAUUUAAAUGCAAAGCUGUCUUGUUCAUUUAGAGUGCAUUGAAACAAUUACUAAAGGCAAGAUUCUAAGAAGAAAGUCGUGCUUAAUUUAGUCAUCACUUGGGUGAUAACAUACUUCUUCCUUUGCUGCCAGUUGGUAUGGUCUUUGGAAAGUACUUUUAGUUCUGCCACUUAGGUCAAGCCAGCACCCACUUUUAAUUCCUUAGCUAUUUAUGCCGAAUAGGGCCUGGACCAUGGAUUUGAGAUCUUUUUAAAAAAAUUUUGGGGCGGACAGGGUUUCACUACACAGGUCACGCUGGCCUCAAACUUAUGGUGAUCCUCCUGCCUUAGCUGGUAUUACAGGCAUGUACCACCAGGCUAAAAAUGCAACUUGACACCUACUUACGUAGUCUCAUCUUCACAUAUUACCUUCGUACACAGAUUUUGAAUUUUUAAAGAAGUAGAUGACUUUUAUUCCUCCUUUGAUUAACACCCAACUUGGGACAAAGCAUAUGGUAGAUUGAGAAAUACUUACAUUAACUAAAAUGAACAGA